GAUGUCUUUUUAUUCCAACCUUCAUCUCCUCUCCGUUUUCUCUCUCAAUUUCAGACCACAUAUUUGCCUCACACACAAUCGGUCAACACCAGCUUUCCUCUGUCAAUCUCCGUUCACUUCAGCAAACCAACGCCCAACUCUUCUUCACUGUCUUGAUCUCUCCUCUUAUUUCUUCACAGAACACACGCCACUCAAGAGCCACAAUGACAGCAACAAAAACCAGCUGCACUAGCAGCAACACAGCAGUGGGAUGUCCAUGACAGCUCUCUUUCACCCUCACGGUUUCUCUUCUCCUCAGCCAUCUCAAGCUCCACUUCCGGCCACCAUAAGCAAGAACCACCACAGCUGGUGUUAGAAACCUGAAACAGCAACAAGUGAUGAGCAACUCAGGCCCUUGAAGCGGCUGAAACAUCACAGACAACAAUACAAAGUGGCAGCAGCAGGGGCGGAGUUAGACAGCAGCAAAAGUGACGAUUUAUAGUCGACUCGACAUAUUUGAGGAAAAUUCUGGAAAAGUUAAGUCGUCCAGAUAAUUUUGAUGCAACAGCUGAAAAUCAGGGAUAGGGAAUACUUGCAAAUUUUGUGGAUCAUAGAAGACUAUGUACCCUAGGGUACAAUGACUUUUGGAGAGUCUUUUGGUAGCAUUAAUAUUUUAUGUGGCUUUGUGAGUGCAUAAUUGAGGACGUGAAGUUUUGGGAGCCAAAAGAACAGUAGAAAGCAGCAUAAGCAUUAGUGCAGCAACGGCACCUGCAGUAGCUGCCAUGUGUACUUGGAACCACCAGCUUAGCCCCUACCUUUGAGCUGUAAUUUCUCGGGUCACACUUUUUGGUUGAUAAUCCAAAACCUUAGUUCAUUUGGCUGCCUGGGAUCGAGGCUUUGAAGCUCAAUUUGCAACCGCAGAACAAAUAGCGUCGACACUUUUCCCCCGCCCUUUUCAGCAAUCCAAAAAUUCAUCAAUCUGCAUCGAAGUUUAUUUUGAUCAUAUCAAAUUUAGUAUUCAGAGAUUUGCUUUUUGGAAGGAGUACGUGAGCUAGCUAGCUAAGCUUUUCCAUGAUGUGUGAUGGAAACGUUAUGGAUCAACAAGGAAUCUUUCCUGCUCCAUCAUCUCCUCAAACGGAAGUUUACUGGGACGCAAUUGAUGAUGCUGAAAAUGAGGCUAUUGAGAGUUAGAAAUUAGAGUUGCUCGGUGGUCCUGAGCAAGAGCUUAACUUUUCCUGCUCGUUCAUCGUGAGCUAGGAAUUGGUCUUGCCCAGUGGUCUCGAGAAAGAGCUUAAUUUGUCUUGUAAUGUGAUUGCGAGCUAGGAAGGGGCCUUGCUCGAUGGUCCCUAACAAUGGCUUAACUUCUUCUCUACUUGUUGAUUGCAAGCUAGGAAGUGACCUUGCUUAGUGGUCCCGAUCAAGGGCUUUUAAUUCUCUUUCUAUCUUGGCAAUUGCGUUGACUCUUGAAGAGAUUGACCUUGCUUGGUGUUCCUGAGCAAUGACAUAUUUUCUUUCUUGCUCAUUGGUCGCGAGCUAGGAAGUGGACUUGCUCGAUGGUCCCGAUCAAAGGCUAAAUUUUCUUUUGCCUUCGGUAAUUGUUAGGAGGCUUGUAGAGAUCAGCCUUGCUCGGUGUUCCAGAGCAGGGGCUUAGUUUUUCUUGCUCCUUGAUCGCAAACUUGGAAUUGACCUUGCUCGGUGAACUCUAGCAAAAUCUUAUUUUCUUUAUUCGAUAAUCGCGAGGUCUUCUACUGUGAUUCCGACCUAUGUCAUUUGCUUGGUAAAUGUGAGCAUCUUUCCAAGGGACUUUGCUAAAUGAAUUGGAGGCUGCUGAUUGCGACCU
Molecule: long non-coding RNA, 1819 nt
Organism: Juglans regia (Persian walnut)
Lineage: Eukaryota; Viridiplantae; Streptophyta; Magnoliopsida; Fagales; Juglandaceae
Exons: 8
Source: RefSeq, a predicted model, not a curated record